Molecule: ribosomal RNA, 895 nt
Filed under: Ophiostoma ips
Lineage: Eukaryota; Fungi; Ascomycota; Sordariomycetes; Ophiostomatales; Ophiostomataceae
Description: partial large subunit ribosomal RNA
Rfam family: Eukaryotic large subunit ribosomal RNA
Source: RNAcentral
GCAUAUCAAUAAGCGGAGGAAAAGAAACCAACAGGGAUUGCCCCAGUAACGGCGAGUGAAGCGGCAACAGCUCAAAUUUGAAAUCUGGCCUUCGGGUCCGAGUUGUAAUUUGGAGAGGAUGCUUCUGGCGCGGCGCCGUCCGAGUUCCUUGGAACAGGACGCCAUAGAGGGUGAGAGCCCCGUACGGGCGGACGCCUAGCCUUUGUGAAGCUCCUUCGACGAGUCGAGUAGUUUGGGAAUGCUGCUCAAAAUGGGAGGUAAAUUUCUUCUAAAGCUAAAUACCGGCCAGAGACCGAUAGCGCACAAGUAGAGUGAUCGAAAGAUGAAAAGCACUUUGAAAAGAGGGUUAAAAAGUACGUGAAAUUGUUGAAAGGGAAGCGCCUGUGACCAGACUUGCUGCCCACGGAUCAUCCGGCGUUCCUCGCCGGUGCACUCCGCGGGCGGCAGGCCAGCAUCGGUUCUCCUAGGGGGUUAAAGGUCGCGGGAACGUGGCUCCUUCGGGAGUGUUAUAGCCCGCGGCGUCAUGCCUCUGGGGGGACCGAGGACCGCGCUUCGGCAAGGAUGCUGGCGUAAUGGUCACCGGCGACCCGUCUUGAAACACGGACCAAGGAGUCAAGCAUUGGGGCGAGUGUCUGGGUGCCAAACCCGCACGCGAAAUGAAAGUAAACGCAGGUGAGAGCUUCGGCGCAUCACCGACCGAUCCUGAUGUCUUCGGAUGGAUUUGAGUAAGAGCCUUACCGCUUGGACCCGAAAGAUGGUGAACUAUGCCUGUAUAGGGUGAAGCCAGAGGAAACUCUGGUGGAGGCUCGCAGCGGUUCUGACGUGCAAAUCGAUCGUCAAAUAUGGGCAUGGGGCGAAAGACUAAUCGAACCAUCUAGUAGCUGGUUACCGCCGA